UCCAUCCAAACCGAGUUCACCUCCCUAAUCUCAUCAAUGUCCAAAGAUUUUUUUGGUUCGACAUGGAGGUUACGGAAGUGCCUUUAGAAGGCGUCCCAAUAUUCAUCAUAGAUAAUGCGUAGGAAAUAGUGAGAGUCGGCUAUGGUCGGGUUGUUUUGUGUUGGGUAUACAUUGGAAGAUGCUCCUUUAUUGGGGAGGGAAUUCCUACAAAAGAAAGGGCACAUUUCAAACCAAAUGAAAUAUUCAAUUAAUCACCCCACACCUAUCCUAUGUAAGAGACCAUUAUUUUUUAGGCGAAGUAACGGGCAUGGGAUAAGUAGUAAGAUCACAAAUUCUAUCACAAAGCAAUAGACAGUCAAAGUGAAUGAAGGAAAUAGUGAAACAAUCCAACCUCCAUUUUUGCCAAACAAGAUAGGCAAAGUCUGGUUAAAUGGGUGAAAAUCACAAAAUUAGGCAAUCAAAGCAACUGAACAAGUUUAACAUCUUUAAAUCACAAGAAAAAGCAUCCUAAUCAUUUAUGAUCAAUAACUCAGCCUCUAGAAUCACAACAAAGCAUUCUUUAGGCAUAAAGGAAGAAGAUCAAAAAAUUACCUAAAAAUAUCAAACAAAAUUCAAAGUUUCCGCUACCUAAAUCAUGCAAUUUCAAAGGGAAAACUGUACCAUGAGAGUCUUAUCAUAACCAAUUUCAAUUUAGCAUCAUCAAUUUUGAAAUGCCUUGUGGUGAACAUUUUCGUCCGGCGGCCGGUGGCUUGUGGGUUUGGAGUCGCCACCAAUCGCUUAAAAGUGGAUUGGACACUUGGAGCCCGGUUCAGAUUUGGGAGUCUAAACUGGGCAUGACCUACGUUCAGAGAUCUAGGAAGGAUUAGCACCCCUACAACGCCUCACAAAUCGGUACUACGAAAAUCGAUAAGUUUGAUGUGUUUUAUUAAAUGCGCUUAAUUUUUGAUUGUGUGAUUUGUCUUUCCUCCCUCUUGCGAAGACUAAAGCUAUUAGUUUCAUUUUUAAAUUUGGGAAUGAAAUGAUAAAUUAUUUAAAGUUGGAAAGAAAUUGAUAAAUUAUUUUAAAGUUCAUGAUAAAAUAAUAAAUUGUUUGUAAGUUGGAAAUAAGAUAAUAAACUGUUUUAAAGUUGGAAAUAAAAUUAUAAAUUAUUUUAAAGUUUGAAAUGAAAUGAAAAAUUAUUUAAUAUUGGAAAUAAAAUGAUAAAUUUUUUUAAUGUUGGAAAUAAAAUAAGAAAUUAUUUUAAUGUUGGAAAUAAAAUGAUAAACUGUUUUAAUAUUGGACUCGAGUCUUUUGACAGCCUACAUACCCGAACUUCGGGAUCAAAGUUCACGUAGUUCCAUUUGAAAAAGUUGAUUUGAGGUGCAACUCAAUAGUUUCGGAUUGCUUGGUAUAUUUUGAAUGUUUUACGAGUUUUAUAUGUCGAGAAUUUCAUGUGACUUUAAUAGUAUAAAGUCCGACGUUACUAUUUUCAUUUUAUGCUUAUUUAAGAAAGAUUUUUGUGUUUUAUAAUUUGAUUAGUUAAAAAUGAUUUGUUUGAAGAUAAUGGAUUCACGUACUUCCCUCUUUAGAAAGCUUACUUUACUUUUUCUAGGCCAAUUAUUUUCAUAAUAUUGAUUUUUUAUAGGUGGACUCGAGCCUCCUACGUACUUGGGAUCAAAGUCCGCGUAGUUCAGGGGGGAAUUGAUUUGAGAAUUUUGCAUAGUUUUUACUAUUGUAAAAACUACGUUACUGUGCUCGUUUUUUAGUUUAGGAAAAAGAGUCGAAUGUUUCAUGCUGAGAUUUUUGUAAAAACUAUUUUUGAGGUUUGGUAUUCCGAAUUCAUCAAUACCAAUUCAAGGAUAUAGUUAUAGAGGAAAAGACGUGGAAAAAAGAUAUUUCGAUGAAUUUAAUUUGAUUUGCAAUCGGAAUCUUCGUUAUUUUAUAAAGCUGAAGGAAAUAAUAAAGGUUAGUAAUGUCGAUUUAAUUGAUUUUUUUAAUUAAACUGAUUUACCAAAAUUGGAAAUAUGCUAUAGGACGAGAAACAAACCUAUAUUCGGAUACGUUUGACGCAAACAGUUUUAGUGAUUCAAUGAUUUUAUUUUCGUUAAAUUAACGUUAUCGAUAAUAAAUAUUACCUCAAUUUAAGUACUAUUUCAAUUUCUAAAUACCCAAUAAAAUUAGAGAAUUCAAAAUUUUAAUUUUUUAUUAUCCUACAUCUAUUUUGGUCUUACUCUUAAGUUAAUAAGAAUUAUAUAAGGCCUUAUUGAAUUAAGCAUCAACAGAGCUAGCCUGCUGGUUGCAAAUGGGCUCCAGCUUGAACCGGGUCCCACCAACAAAAUCGGGCCAAACGAACAGAAGGAGAAGGGCCCAAUCCGUCCGCUGAAGCCGACCGGUCCGACCUGUCAUGGUCCAACCCGGGACUAAAGCAAAAGACGAAAAUGCCCCUGACCGGUCCGCAGUUUGAAGGAGACCAGCGGAAAACUCAUAACUUUUUGACGCCUAAUUACUGUGGGGGGGGCGUAAAAUGACGAAAAGGCCAGAUGACUAAUCUAGCUGCUCAACGAAAAAUAAUGGUAAAUUAGUAACUUCACUCCUGACCCUAAUCGGCCCUCUUAAUUUCCAGAAGCAUCCCAUUAAUCUUCCGACCGCGGCGGUAGCGACGCCGCCGCCGCUCCUCUCUCCCCUCUCUCUUUUUUUUCUUCUUCUCCUCUUCUCUCCCUUUCCCCUCUUUUUUUCUUUCUUCUUCCUCUCCUUCUCCAAUGGCGACAACAUUGCCGCCGCCUCUCUGCCCUUUCCUCUAUGUUUCUUUUCUCGAUGCCGCCUCUCCUCUCUUUUCGCUCUUUUUUCUUUCUUCUUUCUCUCCUUCUCGGGCGGUGGCGGCUGCCGCAGUCUCUCCUCCCUUUUCCCUCUUUUUUAUUUCUUUUUUCACUCUUUCUCCGACGGCGGCGGCGGCGCAGCCGCCUCUCCCCCCUUUCCUCUCUUUUUCUUUUCUCUCUUCUUCCUCUCCUUCUCGGCGGCGGUGGCGUUGCCGCCGUCUCUCCUCCCUUUUCUCUCUUUUUCUUUUCUCUUUUUUUUCUUUUUGUUCUUCCUCAUCUCCAGAAAACAAAUAAGAAGCAUAUAAAAUGGGAAUACCUAUCUUCUCUGCUUCUGGAAAUCGUGAUGGUCAUCUUCGAUGUUGACUCAAUCGUGAGGUCUAAAUCUGAUGUCGCUAUUGCCAAUCGGCCCUAGAAUCAUGGCCGCCUCCAAUUCAUCUUCUCGUCACUGCUGAAUCACUGGAUUCUACAAAGAACAAAGGUAAAACAUACUCUUCCUAACAUCUAUGAUUCUUCUGUUCUAGCUCAACUUUUGGAUCGGAGAUUUGACCAUGGUUUAUUUUUCUCUUUUGAUUUGGAUCUCGAUUUGGGGUGAAGUGCUGUGGGAAAAUCAGCCAGAACUGAUGCUCUCUGUCGUCAUUCGCCUCCACGAGUUGUCAUAGUCCGGCUGGGCCCCUAAGAAUUAAAG
RNAcentral lists this long non-coding RNA (3480 nucleotides) under Linum usitatissimum (flax). RNAcentral describes it as "long non-coding RNA (LUSI_LNC006158)". Lineage: Eukaryota; Viridiplantae; Streptophyta; Magnoliopsida; Malpighiales; Linaceae. The record is from RNAcentral.